UACGAAGGGGACUAGCGUUGUUCGGAAUUACUGGGCGUAAAGCGCACGUAGGCGGAUUUGUAAGUCAGGGGUGAAAUCCCGGGGCUCAACCUCGGAACUGCCUUUGAUACUGCAAAUCUCGAGUCCGAUAGAGGUGGGUGGAAUUCCUAGUGUAGAGGUGAAAUUCGUAGAUAUUAGGAAGAACACCGGUGGCGAAGGCGGCCCACUGGAUCGGUACUGACGCUGAGGUGCGAAAGCGUGGGGAGCAAACAGG
This 253-nucleotide ribosomal RNA is filed under the name uncultured bacterium. RNAcentral describes it as "partial 16S ribosomal RNA". It matches the Rfam family "Bacterial small subunit ribosomal RNA", at positions 524 to 776 of the family's 1533-position model. The record is from RNAcentral. RNAcentral also lists the same sequence under 1 other name.